RNAcentral lists this unclassified non-coding RNA (1304 nucleotides) under Homarus americanus (American lobster). Its description in RNAcentral is "serine/arginine-rich splicing factor 3-like, transcript variant X2". Lineage: Eukaryota; Metazoa; Arthropoda; Malacostraca; Decapoda; Nephropidae. The record is from RNAcentral.
GGAAUUAAAUGUUCAGCAUCCGUAUUGUAUGCACUGCGCAGCUCACAAGAUGACGUCAUCAGUUGAAAAUUCCUGAUCUAGACGACUGUGGAGCUGACGCUCGUCUAUUUUACCAUCCAAGUCCUUCACUAAUGUUGGCAUUUUGAAUCUUGGAGCUUUUGAUCAACAAUGGAGGGAGUCAGCAACUACACACCAAAAAGAAUGCGGAUGGAUUGCAAGGUCUAUGUGGGCAACCUUGGCAACAACGCCGCAAAGCACGAAUUGGAGUCAGCGUUCACCAAAUAUGGUCCUUUAGUGAAUGUUUGGGUGGCACGUAAUCCUCCUGGAUUUGCAUUUGUGGAAUUUGAAGACCCAAGGGAUGCUGAAGAUGCUGUACGGGCCCUUGAUGGAACGCGACUGUGUGGUGUUCGUGUGAGAGUGGAGAUGUCCACCGGCCGCUCACGCCGUGACCGUUACCGUUCUCCUUCAAGACGAGGUGGAAGCAGGCGAUCCAGGACUAUCUCGCCCAAAUUACUUCUUGUUCCACCACCACCAUCUACUCCUCCUACUGUUGCUACCACACCACCACCACCAACUCCACCACAACCACCACCACCACCACCACAAGUACUUCCACCACCACCACCACCACCACCACCACUGCUAGCAUCAGCCUGCUUGUACAGUGGGCUUCCAGUAUUGGGUUGUAGGGGAGGUUGGAGCUCCCUGUGGGGGCUCCUUCCACUCAUCACCUGAUCCUACACUGGUGAUGCAACUUGAUGACAUAAAGUGAGUCAAAUGACACUCUUGGGUAGUGAAGCAUGUUCUCCUUCAUAGUGUUCAUGCUUUACUGUCAGUGGGUGGUAGAGUUUACCAGUGUUGGAUAAGGUGUUGGGCCCUGAUCAGCCAAGGCAUGGCGGCGGUGGUGGUGAGCGGCACGUUGCCUGAUGGCCCUCCUACGGCGCGGCACCUCGCGGCACCCGGGCAGCCCUUAUGCGCUUCACGUGUCCUCUUCUCCCCGCCCGUCUACGUCUACCCUCCGCCCACUGCCCGCCCAUCGCCCGCCCGCUGCCUGCGCACCGUCAGGCCUGCCCCCCCACCCACCAUCUUGGGUCUCUGACCCUCCAACGCUCGCUCCACUUUCUUACAUUCAUCGCGCCUCGUCUCAUCAUAACGACUACCCUGCUGUGACGGUCCCGCACUCCCAGAAGGUUUGGCCGUUCUCGUUCCAGGUCACCAAGACGCUCACGGUCCCGCUCCCCCAGGUCUGUUUCACGAUCACCAAGGUAUGAUGAUUACCGCCGACGAAGUGACUCUCCAGACUU